This 329-nucleotide unclassified non-coding RNA is filed under the name soil metagenome. RNAcentral's name for it is "partial contains 5.8S ribosomal RNA, internal transcribed spacer 2, and large subunit ribosomal RNA". The stretch from base 1 to 120 matches the Rfam family "5.8S ribosomal RNA", at positions 35 to 154 of the family's 154-position model. The record is from RNAcentral.
GAUGAAGAACGUAGCGAAAUGCGAUAAGUAGUGUGAAUUGCAGAAUUCAGUGAAUCAUCGAAUCUUUGAACGCACAUUGCGCCCCUUGGUAUCCCGAGGGACAUGCCUGUUCGAGCGUCAUUUCACCACUCAAGCCUGGCUUGGUGUUGGGCGACGUCCUCUUUGGGGACGCGCCUCGAAACGCUCGGCGGCGUGGCACCGGCUUUAAGCGUAGCAGAAUCUUUCGCUUUGGAAGUCGGGGCCCCGUCUGCCGGAAGACCUGCUCGCAAGGUUGACCUCGGAUCAGGCAGGGAUACCCGCUGAACUUAAGCAUAUCAAUAAGCGGAGGA